AUACGUAGGGGGCGAGCGUUGUCCGGAGUUACUGGGCGUAAAGGGUGCGUAGGCGGCCCAUUAAGUCAGGUGUGAAAAACCCUGGCUCAACCGGGGUAUUGCACUUGAAACUGGUGGGCUUGAGUGCAGGAGAGGGAAGUGGAAUUCCUGGUGUAGCGGUGAAAUGCGUAGAUAUCAGGAGGAACACCAGUGGCGAAGGCGGCUUCCUGGCCUGUAACUGACGCUGAGGUACGAGAGCGUGGGGAGCAAACAGGAUUAGAUACCCUGGUAGUCCACGCUGUAAACGAUGGAUACUAGGUGUAGGGGGCGAUUGAGUCCUCUGUGCCGAAGUUAACGCAAUAAGUAUCCCGCCUGGGGAGUACGGCCGCAAGGUUGAA
Molecule: ribosomal RNA, 377 nt
Filed under: uncultured bacterium
Lineage: Bacteria
Description: bacterial SSU rRNA
Rfam family: Bacterial small subunit ribosomal RNA
Source: RNAcentral